This 558-nucleotide ribosomal RNA is filed under the name Salmonella enterica subsp. enterica serovar Infantis. Its description in RNAcentral is "bacterial SSU rRNA". It matches the Rfam family "Bacterial small subunit ribosomal RNA", at positions 1 to 548 of the family's 1533-position model. The record is from RNAcentral. RNAcentral also lists the same sequence under 1 other name. Lineage: Bacteria; Pseudomonadati; Pseudomonadota; Gammaproteobacteria; Enterobacterales; Enterobacteriaceae.
AAAUUGAAGAGUUUGAUCAUGGCUCAGAUUGAACGCUGGCGGCAGGCCUAACACAUGCAAGUCGAACGGUAACAGGAAGCAGCUUGCUGCUUCGCUGACGAGUGGCGGACGGGUGAGUAAUGUCUGGGAAACUGCCUGAUGGAGGGGGAUAACUACUGGAAACGGUGGCUAAUACCGCAUAACGUCGCAAGACCAAAGAGGGGGACCUUCGGGCCUCUUGCCAUCAGAUGUGCCCAGAUGGGAUUAGCUUGUUGGUGAGGUAACGGCUCACCAAGGCGACGAUCCCUAGCUGGUCUGAGAGGAUGACCAGCCACACUGGAACUGAGACACGGUCCAGACUCCUACGGGAGGCAGCAGUGGGGAAUAUUGCACAAUGGGCGCAAGCCUGAUGCAGCCAUGCCGCGUGUAUGAAGAAGGCCUUCGGGUUGUAAAGUACUUUCAGCGGGGAGGAAGGUGUUGCGGUUAAUAACCGCAGCAAUUGACGUUACCCGCAGAAGAAGCACCGGCUAACUCCGUGCCAGCAGCCGCGGUAAUACGGAGGGUGCAAGCGUUAAUCGG